AGAGUUUGAUCAUGGCUCAGAGCGAACGCUGGCGGCGUACUUAACACAUGCAAGUCGAACGAGGAUCAUCGGGUUAGCAAUAAUUCGGUGGUCCUAGUGGCGUACGGGUGAGUAACACGUGGGUAACCUGCCCUCGAGUCCGGGAUACCCUCUCGAAAGGGAGGCUAAUACUGGAUACGUUCCCUGGGGCGCAAGACCUGGGGAGGAAAGGUAGCGAAAGCUGCCGCUCUUGGAGGGGCUCGCGGCCUAUCAGCUAGUUGGUGAGGUAACGGCUCACCAAGGCUAUGACGGGUAGCUGGUCUGAGAGGACGACCAGCCACACGGGAACUGAGACACGGUCCCGACUCCUACGGGAGGCAGCAGUGGGGAAUUUUCCGCAAUGGGCGAAAGCCUGACGGAGUGACGCCGCGUGGGGGACGAAGGCCUUCGGGUCGUAAACCCCUGUCAGAGGGAAAGAAGGGUGCUGGCGUGAAUAGCGCCGGCAUCUGACGGUACCUUCAGAGGAAGCCCCGGCCAACUCUGUGCCAGCAGCCGCGGUAAGACAGAGGGGGCAAGCGUUGCUCGGAAUCACUGGGCGUAAAGGGCGCGUAGGCGGGAUGGCAAGUCGGUCGUGAAAUCCUUCGGCUCAACCGAAGAACGUCGGCCGAUACUGCCGUUCUUGAGGGAUGCAGAGGAGAUUGGAAUUCCCGGUGUAGCGGUGAAAUGUGUAGAGAUCGGGAGGAACACCGGUGGCGAAGGCGGGUCUCUGGGCAUCUCCUGACGCUGAGGCGCGAAAGCGUGGGGAGCAAACGGGAUUAGAUACCCCCGUAGUCC
RNAcentral lists this ribosomal RNA (813 nucleotides) under uncultured bacterium. RNAcentral describes it as "bacterial SSU rRNA". It matches the Rfam family "Bacterial small subunit ribosomal RNA", at positions 8 to 796 of the family's 1533-position model. The record is from RNAcentral.